AUGGAGGAUGUGAUCUACGAGGGUGGGCAUGGCCGUGCCUACGAUCCCGACGAGACCCAAAGUCAGGAUGGCCGCGCCCAGUACGUUGCCGAUGAAGAGGCCGACGACCGUGCUGACUACGACCAUGGUGACUCGUGGCAUGAAGACGAUGACAUCUAUUGCGAAGGUGAUGGUGAUGAAGAAGAAGGCAAUGACAUUGAUAUUAGUGGCGAGCCAUUGUUCAUCGACGGGCUCACCCAAAGAGCGGAAGCACAAAAGAGGAAGAGCAUUCGCAUAGGUUCAUAUUCACAAGAGGAGGACAAGUUGAUUUGCCAAUGUUGGAUGGAGAUUAGCCAAGAUCCAAGGACCGGCGCGCAACAAAAGGGCCUUGUUUUUUGGACGAGAGUCCACAAAACAUUUCAUGAAAGGAAGAUGUUUGAGCCCUACCAAAUUACGAGCAACCGUGGCAUCACCUCGAUUCAAAAGAGGUGGUUGUUCAUCCAACAAGACUGCAACAAGUAUUGCGCCACACUUGAGAGCGUUGAAAGCACGGCCCGUGAGUGGUCUCGGCGUUGGGGACAUGGUAUGCUCUCCUCAACCUAG
RNAcentral lists this ribosomal RNA (582 nucleotides) under Triticum aestivum (bread wheat). RNAcentral describes it as "partial small subunit ribosomal RNA". The record is from RNAcentral. Lineage: Eukaryota; Viridiplantae; Streptophyta; Magnoliopsida; Poales; Poaceae.